GAGCAAUGGAGCACAACCUUCCAAUUUUCUAGCUAGCAGAUCUAAAGCAGACAUCCAAAAUUCCUGAAUCAACUCAUUACACUCAGGAAAAUAAGCCCACCUGAUGUCAAACUUGAACAACUUCCCAGCCUUCUUACACAUUGGAUGAAGAAAUAAAAUAAUAGGCCAAUAUCAGAAGCAAUCAUCUUCUCAUAAACCAACAAACUCUGAUUGAACUGAGUAUUUGACAAUAGCUUUAUCUAGCCUUUCCAUAAUUCUAGCAUUCCCAUCCUGUUUAUUAGACCAGGAAAAGCGAG
RNAcentral lists this unclassified non-coding RNA (296 nucleotides) under Hevea brasiliensis (rubber tree). Lineage: Eukaryota; Viridiplantae; Streptophyta; Magnoliopsida; Malpighiales; Euphorbiaceae. The record is from RNAcentral.